GGCCUUUUGAUUAUAAUUUAAGGUCGGGCCUGCCCAAUGAAGAAAUUUAAUGGCCGCGGUAUAUUAACUGUGCAAAGGUAGCAUAAUCAUUAGUUUUUUAAUUGAAAGCUGGAAUGAAGGGUUUAAUGAAAAAAGUUCUGUUUCUGUUUAAGUUUAUUAGAAUUUUAUUUUUAAGUUAAAAAGCUUAAAUAAUUAUUGAAGACGAGAAGACCCUAUAGAGUUUUAUAUUUUUGGAAAUUUUUUUAUUUGGUAAUUUUAAUUUAAUUUUUAAAGGUAUUUGGUUGGGGUGAUUGAAAAAUUAAAGAAACUUUUUUUUUAUUAAACAUUAAUAUAUGAGUAAAUGAUCCUUUUUUUAGAUUAAAAGAAAUAAUUACCUUAGGGAUAACAGCGUAAUUUUUCUUAGAGUUCUUAUCAAAAGAAAAGAUUGCGACCUCGAUGUUGGAUUAAAAUAAGUUUUUGGUGCAGAAGCUGAAAAACUAGGUCUGUUCGACCUUUAAAUUUUUACAUGAUCUGAGUUUAGACCGGUUUAAG
Molecule: ribosomal RNA, 531 nt
Filed under: Ficusacalles senilis senilis
Lineage: Eukaryota; Metazoa; Arthropoda; Insecta; Coleoptera; Curculionidae
Description: partial 16S ribosomal RNA
Rfam family: Bacterial large subunit ribosomal RNA
Source: RNAcentral